GCUAACGUCCGUCGUGAAAAGGGAAACAACCCAGACCGUCAGCUAAGGUCCCAAAGUUAUGGUUAAGUGGGAAACGAUGUGGGAAGGCUUAGACAGCUAGGAGGUUGGCUUAGAAGCAGCCACCCUUUAAAGAAAGCGUAAUAGCUCACUAGUCGAGUCGGCCUGCGCGGAAGAUGUAACGGGGCUCAAACCAUACACCGAAGCUACGGGUAUCACUUAGGUGAUGCGGUAGAGGAGCGUUCUGUAAGCCUGUGAAGGUGAGUUGAGAAGCUUGCUGGAGGUAUCAGAAGUGCGAAUGCUGACAUGAGUAACGACAAUGGGUGUGAAAAACACCCACGCCGAAAGACCAAGGUUUCCUGCGCAACGUUAAUCGACGCAGGGUUAGUCGGUCCCUAAGGCGAGGCUGAAAAGCGUAGUCGAUGGAAAACAGGUUAAUAUUCCUGUACUUCUGGUUAUUGCGAUGGAGGGACGGAGAAGGCUAGGCCAGCUUGGCGUUGGUUGUCCAAGUUUAAGGUGGUAGGCUGGAAUCUUAGGUAAAUCCGGGAUUCUAAGGCCGAGAGCUGAUGACGAGUGUUCUUUUAGAACACGAAGUGGUUGAUGCCAUGCUUCCAAGAAAAGCUUCUAAGCUUCAGGUAACCAGGAACCGUACCCCAAACCGACACAGGUGGUUGGGUAGAGAAUACCAAGGCGCUUGAGAGAACUCGGGUGAAGGAACUAGGCAAAAUGGCACCGUAACUUCGGGAGAAGGUGCGCCGGUGAGGGUGAAGCAUUUACUGCGUAAGCCCAUGCCGGUCGAAGAUACCAGGCCGCUGCGACUGUUUAUUAAAAACACAGCACUCUGCAAACACGAAAGUGGACGUAUAGGGUGUGACGCCUGCCCGGUGCCGGAAGGUUAAUUGAUGGGGUUAGCUAACGCGAAGCUCUUGAUCGAAGCCCCGGUAAACGGCGGCCGUAACUAUAACGGUCCUAAGGUAGCGAAAUUCCUUGUCGGGUAAGUUCCGACCUGCACGAAUGGCGUAACGAUGGCGGCGCUGUCUCCACCCGAGACUCAGUGAAAUUGAAAUCGCUGUGAAGAUGCAGUGUAUCCGCGGCUAGACGGAAAGACCCCGUGAACCUUUACUAUAGCUUUGCACUGGACUUUGAAUUUGCUUGUGUAGGAUAGGUGGGAGGCUUUGAAGCGUGGACGCCAGUUCGCGUGGAGCCAACCUUGAAAUACCACCCUGGCAACUUUGAGGUUCUAACUCAGGUCCGUUAUCCGGAUCGAGGACAGUGUAUGGUGGGUAGUUUGACUGGGGCGGUCUCCUCCUAAAGAGUAACGGAGGAGUACGAAGGUGCGCUCAGACCGGUCGGAAAUCGGUCGUAGAGUAUAAAGGCAAAAGCGCGCUUGACUGCGAGACAGACACGUCGAGCAGGUACGAAAGUAGGUCUUAGUGAUCCGGUGGUUCUGUAUGGAAGGGCCAUCGCUCAACGGAUAAAAGGUACUCCGGGGAUAACAGGCUGAUACCGCCCAAGAGUUCAUAUCGACGGCGGUGUUUGGCACCUCGAUGUCGGCUCAUCACAUCCUGGGGCUGAAGCCGGUCCCAAGGGUAUGGCUGUUCGCCAUUUAAAGUGGUACGCGAGCUGGGUUUAGAACGUCGUGAGACAGUUCGGUCCCUAUCUGCCGUGGACGUUUGAGAUUUGAGAGGGGCUGCUCCUAGUACGAGAGGACCGGAGUGGACGAACCUCUGGUGUUCCGGUUGUCACGCCAGUGGCAUUGCCGGGUAGCUAUGUUCGGAAUAGAUAACCGCUGAAAGCAUCUAAGCGGGAAACUAGCCUCAAGAUGAGAUCUCACUGGGACCUUGA
RNAcentral lists this ribosomal RNA (1842 nucleotides) under Pseudomonas sp. URMO17WK12:I12. Its description in RNAcentral is "bacterial LSU rRNA". It matches the Rfam family "Bacterial large subunit ribosomal RNA", at positions 997 to 2830 of the family's 2925-position model. The record is from RNAcentral. Lineage: Bacteria; Pseudomonadati; Pseudomonadota; Gammaproteobacteria; Pseudomonadales; Pseudomonadaceae.